This 468-nucleotide ribosomal RNA is filed under the name uncultured bacterium. RNAcentral describes it as "partial 16S ribosomal RNA". It matches the Rfam family "Bacterial small subunit ribosomal RNA", at positions 28 to 507 of the family's 1533-position model. The record is from RNAcentral.
GACGAACGCUGGCGGCGUGCUUAACACAUGCAAGUCGAACGGAAAGGCCCUGCUUUUGUGCGGUGCUCGAGUGGCGAACGGGUGAGUAACACGUGAGUAACCUGCCCUUGACUUUGUGAUAACUUCAGGAAACUGGGGCUAAUACCGGAUAGGAGCUCCUGCUGCAUGGUGGGGGUUGGAAAGUUUCGGCGGUUGGGGAUGGACUCGCGGCUUAUGAGCUUGUUGGUGGGGUAGUGGCUUACCAAGGCUUUGACGGGUAGCCGGCCUGAGAGGGUGACCGGCGACAUGGGGGCUGAGAUACGGCCCAGACUCCUACGGGAGGCAGCAGUGGGGAACAUUGCACAAUGGGCGGAAGCCUGAUGCAGCAACGCCGCGUGCGGGAUGACGGCCUUCGGGUUGUAAACCGCUUUGGCCUGUAACGAAGCGUGAGUGACGGUAAUGGGUAAAGAAGCACCGGCUAACUACGUG